This 3527-nucleotide ribosomal RNA is filed under the name Hevea brasiliensis (rubber tree). Its description in RNAcentral is "eukaryotic LSU rRNA". It matches the Rfam family "Eukaryotic large subunit ribosomal RNA". The record is from RNAcentral. Lineage: Eukaryota; Viridiplantae; Streptophyta; Magnoliopsida; Malpighiales; Euphorbiaceae.
GGCGACCCCAGGUCAGGCGGGAGCACGCCGAUUUAAGCAUAUCAAUAAGCGAGGAAAAAGAAACUUACCAGGAUUCCCUAGUAACGGCGAGCGAACCGGGAAGAGCCCAGCUUGAGAAUCGGGCGCCCUCGGCGUCCAGACAUUGUAGUCCUGGAGAGCGUUCCCAGCGGCGGACCGGGCCCAAGUCCUGAAGGGGGCGCCGGAGAGGGUGAGAGCCCGGUCGUGGCCCGACCCCUGUCGCACCAGCGAGGCGCUGUCUGCGAGUCGGGUUGUUUGGGAAUGCAGCCCCAAUCGGGCUGGUAAAUUCCGUCCAGGCUAAAUACGGGGCCGAGAGACCCGAUAGCGAAUACCCGCGAGGGAAAGAUGAAAAGGACUUUGAAGAGAGUCAAAAGAGUGCUUGAAAUUGUCGGGAGGGAAGCGGAUGGGGGCGGCGAUGGCGCCCCGGUCGGAUGUGACGGCGGCAUAGCCGGUCCGCCGAUCCCGGCUCGGGGCGCGGACGACGCGGAUCGCAGCGGCGGCCCAAGACCGGGCACUAAGAAACAGCCCGCCAGGAGACGCACCAGUCGCAGCGAUCGUGGACAGCAGCGGCCGCCGUCACGGCGUGCCCCGCCAGCAGCGCUCCUGCGUCGGCCGGCGGGCUCCCCAUUCGGCCCGUUUUGAAAUCACGGAACCAAGGAGUCCUGACCAUGUGGUGCGCAGUCAACCGGGCGAGUAAACUCCGUAAGGGCGCAAGGGAAGCUGACUGGCGGGAUCCCCCGAGGGUUGCACCGCGUCACCCGAGCCUCUGGAUCUUCCUGAGAAAGGGUUCGAGUGAUUAGCAUGCCCUGUCGGGACUGCCCGAAAGAUGGUGAACUUACAUGCCGCCCCCUGAGCGGUGGCCGAACGCCCAAGAGGAAACUCUGGUGGAGGCCCGCGCGAUUAACUUGACAGUGGCAAUUCGUUCGUCUGACUUGGGUAUAUGGGGCGAAAGACCGUAAUCGAACCCGUCUAGAUAGCUGGUCCCUCCGAAGUUUCCCCUAGGAUGCUGGAGCUCGGGACGAGUUUCUAUCGGGAAAGCCAAAUGAUUAGAGGCAUCGGGGCGAACGCCCUCCGACUAUUCUCCAACUUUAAAUAGGUGGACGCGCGGCUGCUUCGCUGAGCGGCGCCACGGAAUCGAGAAGCUUCCAAAGUGGCCAUUUUUGGUAAGCAGAACUGGCGAUGCGGGAUGAAACCGGAAGCCGGGUAUACGGUGCCCAGAAUCCUGCGGCGCUAACCCAGAACCCAAGGGUGUUGGUCGAUUUAAGACAGGCAGGACGUGGUUCAUGGAAGUCGAAUCCGCUAAGGUAGUGAGUGUAACAACUCCCUGCCGAAAUCAACUAGCCCCGAAAAAUGGAUGGCGCUAGCGCGCGACCUAAUACCCGGCCGUCCCGGGGGGCAAGAGCCAGGACCCCGUGAGUAGGAUGGGCGCGGCGGCCGCUGCAAAAACCCGGGGCGCGAGCCCGGGCGGAGGCGGCCGCCGGUGGCAGGAUCGUUGGUGGUAGUAGGCAAAUAUUCAAAUGAAGAACUUUGAAAAGGCCGAAGAGGGGGAAAGGUUCCAUGUGAACGCACUUGCCACAUGGGUUAGUCGAUCCUAAGACGGGGGAAGCCCGUCCGACAGCGCGUUCCGCGCGCGAGCUUGAAAAGGGAAUCGGUUAAAAUUCCCGAAGGGACGCGGCGGUCUGACGGCAACGUUAGGGAAGUCCGGAAGACGUCGCGGGGGCCUCGGGAAGAGUUAUCUUUUCUGUUUAACGGGCCCCGCCCACCCUGAAAACGACUCAGUCGGAAGGUGGGUCCAGCGGCCCGGAAGAGCACCUGCACGUCGCGCCGGUGUCCCGGUGCGCCCCCGGGCGGCCCGUGAAAAUCCGGAGGACCGAGUGCCUUCCCGCGCCGGUCGUACUCAUAACCGCAUCAGGUCUCGCAAGGUGAACAGCCUCUGGCAAUGGAACAGAUGUAAGGCAAGGAAGUCAAGGCAACGGAUCCGAACCUCGGGAAAAAGGAUUGGCUCCUGAGGGCUGGGCCGGGUGGUCCCAGUCCGAACCCGUCGGCGUCGGCCGGACUGCUCGAGAUGCUCCCGAGCGGCGAGAGCGGGUCGCCGCGUGCCCGGCCGGGACGGACUAUGGGAACGGCCCCUUCCGGGGGCCUUCCCCGGGCGUCGAACAGUCGACUCAGAACUGGUAACGUGACAAGGGAAACCGACUGUUUAAUUAAAACAAAGCAUUGCGAUGGUCCCUGGGAUGCUCACUAGCAAUGUGAUUUCUGCCCAGUUGCUCUGAAUGUCAAAGUGAAGAAAUUAAACCAAGCGCGGGUAAACGGCGGGAUGUAACUAUGAACUCUCUUAAGGUACCAGAAUGACCUCGUCAUCUAAUUUAGUGACGCGCAUGAAUGGAUUCAACGAGAUUUCCCAUCUGUCCUGGCUACUAUCCAGCGAAACACAGCCAAGGAACGGGCUUGGGCGAAUCAGCGGGGGAAAGAAGACCCUGUUGAGCUUGACUCUAGUCCGAGCCUUUGUUGAAAUGACUUGAGAGGUGUAGGAUAGUGGGAGCCGGAAAACGGCGACGGUGAAAUACCACUACUUUUUAACGGUUAUUUUACUUGAUUCCCCGUGAAUCGGAGGCGGGGCCAUCGCCCCUCUUUUUGGACCCAAGGCCGCCACGGCCGGCCGAAUCCGGUGCCGGAAGACAUUGUCAGGUGGGGUAUGAAAGUUUGGGGCUGGGGCGGCAAUCUGUUAAAAGAUAACGCAGGUGUCCUAAGAUGAGCUCAAACGAGAACAGAGAAAUCUCGUGUGGACAAAAGGGUAAAAAGCUCGUUUUUGGAUUCUGAUUUCCAGUACGAAUUAAGAACCUGUGAAAGCGUGGUCCUAUCGAUCUCUUUAGACCUUCGGAAUUUGAAGCUAGAGUGUCAGAAAGUUACCACAGGGAUAACUGGCUUGUGGGCAGCCAAGCGUUCAUAGCGACGUUGCUUUUUUGAUCCUUCGAUUGUCGGCUCUUCCUAUCAUUGUGAAGCAGAAUUAACCAAGUGUUGGAUUGUUCACCCCAAUAGGGAACGUGAGCUGGGUUUAGACCGUGCCGUGAGACCAAGGUUAGUUUUACCCUACUGAUGACCGCGUCGCGAUGGUAAUUCAACCUAGUACGAGAGGAACAGUUGAUUUCGGCACAAUUGGUCAUCGCGCGCUUGGUUGAAAGCAGUGGCGCGAAAGCUACCGUGCGCUGGUAUUUAUGACUGAACGCCUCUAAGGUCAGAAUCGCGGGCCAGAAAGCGACGCCCGUGUCGGCGCCCGCUUGCCGACCCGCAGUAUGGGGCCACUCCGGCCCCAGAGGCACGUGCCGUUGGCCAAAGCCCCCGCGGCGGACGAGACCGCGCCGGGCCGCCUUGAAGUACUAUUCCCACCUGGGCGUCGGCAGAAUCCUUUGCAGACCGACUUAAAUACGCGACGGGGGUAUUGGUAAGUGGCAGAGUGGCCUUUGCUGCAGUCCCAGCUGAGAUUCAGUCCUUUGUCGCUCGAGAUUCGU